UACGUAGGGCGCAAGCGUUGUCCGGAAUUAUUGGGCGUAAAGAGCUCGUAGGCGGCUUGUCGCGUCGGAUGUGAAAGCCCGGGGCUUAACUCCGGGUCUGCAUUCGAUACGGGCAGGCUAGAGUGUGGUAGGGGAGAUCGGAAUUCCUGGUGUAGCGGUGAAAUGCGCAGAUAUCAGGAGGAACACCGAUGGCGAAGGCAGGUCUCUGGGCAUUAACUGACGCUGAGGAGCGAAAGCAUGGGGAGCGAACAGG
This 253-nucleotide ribosomal RNA is filed under the name uncultured bacterium. RNAcentral describes it as "partial 16S ribosomal RNA". It matches the Rfam family "Bacterial small subunit ribosomal RNA", at positions 524 to 776 of the family's 1533-position model. The record is from RNAcentral.